GACGAACGCUGGCGGCGUGCUUAACACAUGCAAGUCGAACGGAAAGGCCCUGCUUUUGUGGGGUGCUCGAGUGGCGAAGGGGUGAGUAACACGUGAGUAACCUGCCCUUGACUUUGGGAUAACUUCAGGAAACUGGGGCUAAUACCGGAUAGGAGCUCCUGCUGCAUGGUGGGGGUUGGAAAGUUUCGGCGGUUGGGGAUGGACUCGCGGCUUAUCAGCUUGUUGGUGGGGUAGUGGCUUACCAAGGCUUUGACGGGUAGCCGGCCUGAGAGGGUGACCAGCCACAUUGGGACUGAGAUACGGCCCAGUCUCCUACGGGAGGCAGCAGUGGGGAAUAUUGCACAAUGGGCGGAAGCCUGAGGCGACAACGCCGCGUGCGGGAUGACGGCCUUCGGGUUGUAAACCGCAUUCGCCUGUGACGAAGCGUGAGUGACGGUAAUAGGUAAAGAAGCACCGGCUAACUACGUG
RNAcentral lists this ribosomal RNA (468 nucleotides) under uncultured bacterium. RNAcentral describes it as "partial 16S ribosomal RNA". It matches the Rfam family "Bacterial small subunit ribosomal RNA", at positions 28 to 507 of the family's 1533-position model. The record is from RNAcentral.